AUGCUGAGGCUGGGCUCCCGCUCGCACCCGGCCAGCCUCCUCCGCCACCUCGCACAGAGCCGAGGUCUGCGCGCGGCCGCAGAGCUGCAGCAAGCUGGUUCUACAGGCGCCUCCGGGCCCCCUCUGCAGGCAGCUAGGGCUGCAGCCCCAAAUUCUCUAGGCUGUCGCAGCCUGGGGCGCUUUUCCACCGGAGUUCGCCCAAACGUAUUUUUUCUCCGGAUGAGGAGAUGCUGCAGGAUGUCUCCGAUCCCGGCAGCUCUGUCUCCCCGCCUCCCCGCACCAUACCCCCGCCUCCCUCAGAGAACAGGGAGAGCUACUCUUUCCCGGAGCUGCAGAGGACUUGUUCCACCCACGCUGCCCUGCCCAGAUUGGACAGUUAUGACGGCCUCGUUGCAGUCCGUCCUUAAGUUACCUGCUCUUUUGCUGGGUUCUGAAGCCCAGGUAAGAGCGCAGAAGCAGCCUUUGGCCCGUGGGACAUCUUCCCUAUUGGCACUUCCUCCUCGCUACACCUCUUUAAUGGCAGAGACUGACGGUACUGGUGGAGGAAACAUCAUCCUACGGUCCUGUUCCCACCGAGGUGACAGGAACCCAAUGUCAGAAGGAGCCCUGUGAAGAUCUGGUAACCUACCACAGGUUGAGUCUCCUGUUUCAUUGCUACUCUGACGAUGCAGAGGAUUCCCUGGGCCUCUUGAGCCUCUUUCUUUACCGCCGGGAAGCAAAGGUGAGAGUUUGAGUGGACCCUCCAACAAAGUUGGAGGACAGAGAAAAGCUCUCGUUUCACAUGAAGUUUCACCCAUUGGUGAGGGAUCAUACAGGGAAUGUUCUCUGCCAAAUGCCCUAUUUGGAACAUCAAAUGCAUCAGGAUCUCUUGCUAAGAGUUUAAAUUUAAACUCUAUUUCAGUUAAUUUUUGUCUGCUGUGAGCAUUUUCUUUCCUUAAAUCAUUGAGGUUUCCUUCAGCAGUCCGACCUGCCAACUGAUUACGAUGUGCUUUUUUCUCAUAGGCAAUAGUCCACCGUUGAUAGUAGUGAAUAGUUCUCUUGAGUUCCUCUUCGAGAUCUUUGGCUCGCUUUCUAUAGGUCUCCACCUCCUCGGUGGCAUGGACGAUCUUUUUGUCUACUUUAGAAAGUUUCUCUUCUUUCUCUAACUGGCUGUUUUCCUGUAGUGUUAAUUUCCUAUAGAGCCUCAUUUCAUUUUCUUGAUAGAACUGAGUCAUUAUUUUAAGUUUCUGUUGAAGCUUCCGAUCCUCACUUUCUAAAUGUGUGUUUUCUGACUGCAAAGAUGCUUGUUGAGUCUGAAGAUUUUUAAUACACUGUGUAAGCUCUUCCUUUGUUUUUUCACCUUCAGAUAACUGAAAAUCAAUUUGGUUUUUUUCUCCUUCCAAGAUUUUUAAAGAAGUAUUUAACUUAGCAGCAUGAAUCAGUUUCUUCAAAGCUCCUUUUGGAGGAUGAUCUAAGUAAGCACCAUCUUCUGAUUCGGUGUUCAUUGCCAAUUUCAAGUUCUCAUCUUUCAUUAUGUCUUCUCCAAGCACAGCAGCCCAGUCUUUCAUCUUCAGCAAGCGUUCAGUCAGAAUCUCGAUGUGAUUGUCUUUAUCAUUUAGAACUUGCUCUGCGUGUACUCUGGAAUCUUCCAAUGUUAUUUUCUGUUUAUUAAGUUCACUCACUUGUUCUUUCCAUACUUCAGCUUCUUGCAAAAGCUGUUUCUGGCUUUCCUGAAGUUGAGAAUGUUCAUUCAAGGCAUCUUUUAUUGCUAUCUUCAGUCGUUCUUCAUUCAUUUGAGAUAUCUUCAAGAUGAUUUUGGCUUCAGCUACUUGCGAUUUGAGGGAUUUUGACUCAUCUUCUAGAGACUGUAUAGUUUUGGAAAUAUCUGCCAUCAGUUGCUUUUGUUCAGAAUGUUUUGAUUUCUGUUCUUUUAACUAUUUUUCGAGACCAAGUAUCUCAUCCUCAAGUUCAUCAUUGGACCUGUUCAGCUUUUCACAUGUUGCCUCCAAACUUCGUGCCUCUGCUGCCUCCUCCUCAAAGCUGGCCUCCUUUAAAGAUGACUCUAUUUCACAGCUUUCAUGCUCUUUUUUUUUUUUUUUUUUUUUUUUAAUUUUUUAUUGGAUUAUAGGUUUUGGGGUACAUGAGCAGAGCAUGCAAGACAGUUGCGUAGGUACACACAUGGCAGUGUGCUUUGCUUUUCUUCUCCCCUUCACCCACAUUUGGCAUUUCUCCCCAGGCUAUCCCUCCCCACCUCCCCCUCCCACUGGCCCUCCCCUUUUCCCCCCAAUAGACCCCAAUGUUUAGUACUCCCCUUUCUGUGUCCAUGUGUUCUCAUUUUUCAUCACCCACCUAUGAGUGAGAAUAUGCGGUGUUUCAUUUUCUUUUUAAAGAGGGUAAGGUUUUCAAGUAGUUUACAUUUUUUUGUCAAUUAGUUCAGAAAGCACACCGGCAAGCUUUUUCUCUCUUCUCACAUAAAGCCAACUUCUAAUCGAUCUCAAACUUCUCCACAAAAAAAUGGGAACAGCAAAAAAUCCAACAAUAGCUGCCCAUAUCACGAAUUCCCAUGGAAACCCGUAAGAAUUAGAAUUUGCUGUCAUAUUUUGAGGCAGUGCUGCCACAACCCUGCGUAACUCCACCAGGACCAACCCCAUGUAGGGCUGAGAGGUAGACCUGGGCUCCCGCACACUGCUAAGGCUGCUCUGGCGGUUGCCACAGUAACUGGGGCAACAAUAAGCAGAGGAGAACAUGCAGCCUUCCAUUUAGAACCCAAAUACACGGGAGCAGACCAUUGCAGAGCUGGC
This 2780-nucleotide long non-coding RNA is filed under the name Callithrix jacchus (white-tufted-ear marmoset). RNAcentral describes it as "lncRNA (ENSCJAG00000055425.2)". The record is from RNAcentral. Lineage: Eukaryota; Metazoa; Chordata; Mammalia; Primates; Cebidae.